This 76-nucleotide transfer RNA is filed under the name Escherichia coli. RNAcentral describes it as "tRNA-Lys". It matches the Rfam family "tRNA". From Rfam's summary of the family: Transfer RNA (tRNA) molecules are approximately 80 nucleotides in length. Their secondary structure includes four short double-helical elements and three loops (D, anti-codon, and T loops). Lineage: Bacteria; Pseudomonadati; Pseudomonadota; Gammaproteobacteria; Enterobacterales; Enterobacteriaceae. The record is from RNAcentral. RNAcentral also lists the same sequence under 5 other names.
GGGUCGUUAGCUCAGUAGGUAGAGCAGUUGACUUUUAAUCAAUUGGUCGCAGGUUCGAAUCCUGCACGACCCACCA